UACGUAGGGGGCGAGCGUUGUCCGGAGUUACUGGGCGUAAAGCGCACGCAGGCGGUCUGCUAAGUUUGGAGUGACAGUCGGUGGCUCAACCACCAAAGUGCUUUGAAAACUGACAGACUUGAGGGCUUCAGAGGGACACGGAAUUCCGGGUGGAGUGGUGAAAUGCGUAGAGAUCCGGAGGAACACCGAAGGCGAAGGCAGUGUCCUGGGGAGUACCUGACGCUCAGGUGCGAAAGCUAGGGGAGCGAACGGG
Molecule: ribosomal RNA, 253 nt
Filed under: uncultured bacterium
Lineage: Bacteria
Description: partial 16S ribosomal RNA
Rfam family: Bacterial small subunit ribosomal RNA
Source: RNAcentral